UUUGAUUCUGGCUCAGGACGAACGCUGGCGGCGUGCCUAAUACAUGCAAGUCGAACGCUUCUUUUCCCACCGGAGCUUGCUCCACCGGGAAAAGAGGAGUGGCGAACGGGUGAGUAACACGUGGGUAACCUGCCCAUCAGAAGGGGAUAACACUUGGAAACAGGUGCUAAUACCGUAUAACAAUCGAAACCGCAUGGUUUCGUUUUGAAAGGCGCUUUACGGUGCCGCUGAUGGAUGGACCCGCGGUGCAUUAGCUAGUUGGUGAGGUAACGGCUCACCAAGGCCACGAUGCAUAGCCGACCUGAGAGGGUGAUCGGCCACAUUGGGACUGAGACACGGCCCAAACUCCUACGGGAGGCAGCAGUAGGGAAUCUUCGGCAAUGGACGAAAGUCUGACCGAGCAACGCCGCGUGAGUGAAGAAGGUUUUCGGAUCGUAAAACUCUGUUGUUAGAGAAGAACAAGGGUGAGAGUAACUGUUCACCCCUUGACGGUAUCUAACCAGAAAGCCACGGCUAACUACGUGCCAGCAGCCGCGGUAAUACGUAGGUGGCAAGCGUUGUCCGGAUUUAUUGGGCGUAAAGCGAGCGCAGGCGGUUUCUUAAGUCUGAUGUGAAAGCCCCCGGCUCAACCGGGGAGGGUCAUUGGAAACUGGGAGACUUGAGUGCAGAAGAGGAGAGUGGAAUUCCAUGUGUAGCGGUGAAAUGCGUAGAUAUAUGGAGGAACACCAGUGGCGAAGGCGGCUCUCUGGUCUGUAACUGACGCUGAGGCUCGAAAGCGUGGGGAGCAAACAGGAUUAGAUACCCUGGUAGUCCACGCCGUAAACGAUGAGUGCUAAGUGUUGGAGGGUUUCCGCCCUUCAGUGCUGCAGCUAACGCAUUAAGCACUCCGCCUGGGGAGUACGACCGCAAGGUUGAAACUCAAAGGAAUUGACGGGGGCCCGCACAAGCGGUGGAGCAUGUGGUUUAAUUCGAAGCAACGCGAAGAACCUUACCAGGUCUUGACAUCCUUUGACCACUCUAGAGAUAGAGCUUCCCCUUCGGGGGCAAAGUGACAGGUGGUGCAUGGUUGUCGUCAGCUCGUGUCGUGAGAUGUUGGGUUAAGUCCCGCAACGAGCGCAACCCUUAUUGUUAGUUGCCAUCAUUUAGUUGGGCACUCUAGCAAGACUGCCGGUGACAAACCGGAGGAAGGUGGGGAUGACGUCAAAUCAUCAUGCCCCUUAUGACCUGGGCUACACACGUGCUACAAUGGGAAGUACAACGAGUCGCGAAGUCGCGAGGCUAAGCUAAUCUCUUAAAGCUUCUCUCAGUUCGGAUUGUAGGCUGCAACUCGCCUACAUGAAGCCGGAAUCGCUAGUAAUCGCGGAUCAGCACGCCGCGGUGAAUACGUUCCCGGGCCUUGUACACACCGCCCGUCACACCACGAGAGUUUGUAACACCCGAAGUCGGUGAGGUAACCUUUUUGGAGCCAGCCGCCUAAGGUGGGAUAGAUGAUUGGGGUGAAGUCGUAAAAAGGUAAC
This 1517-nucleotide ribosomal RNA is filed under the name Enterococcus mundtii. Its description in RNAcentral is "bacterial SSU rRNA". It matches the Rfam family "Bacterial small subunit ribosomal RNA". Lineage: Bacteria; Bacillati; Bacillota; Bacilli; Lactobacillales; Enterococcaceae. The record is from RNAcentral.